AUCGAACGCUGGCGGCAGGCUUAACACAUGCAAGUCGAGCGCCCCGCCAGGGGAGCGGCCGACGGGUGAGUAACGCGUGGGAACGUACCUUUUGGUUCGGAACAACUCCGGGAAACUGGAGCUAAUACCGGAUAAGCCCUAACGGGGAAAGAUUUAUCGCCGAAAGAUCGGCCCGCGUCUGAUUAGCUAGUUGGUGAGGUAACGGCUCACCAAGGCGACGAUCAGUAGCUGGUCUGAGAGGAUGAUCAGCCACACUGGGACUGAGACACGGCCCAGACUCCUACGGGAGGCAGCAGUGGGGAAUAUUGGACAAUGGGCGCAAGCCUGAUCCAGCCAUGCCGCGUGAGUGAUGAAGGCCUUAGGGUUGUAAAGCUCUUUUGUCCGGGAAGAUAAUGACUGUACCGGAAGAAUAAGCCCCGGCUAACUUCGUG
Molecule: ribosomal RNA, 431 nt
Filed under: uncultured bacterium
Lineage: Bacteria
Description: partial 16S ribosomal RNA
Rfam family: Bacterial small subunit ribosomal RNA
Source: RNAcentral